Molecule: ribosomal RNA, 325 nt
Filed under: uncultured eukaryote
Lineage: Eukaryota
Description: partial 18S ribosomal RNA
Rfam family: Eukaryotic small subunit ribosomal RNA
Source: RNAcentral
CCCUUGGAAGUUCUGGGCUGCACGCGCGCUGCACUGACAUUUUCAGCGAGUCCACCACCUUGCCUGGGAAUGUGGGGUGACCUCUGGAAAGCGCAUCGUGAUGUGGAUCGAUUAUUGAGAUUAUUAAUUUCCAACGAGGAAUUGCUAGGAAGUAUGUGUCAUCAGCCCGUGCUGAUUACGUCCCUGCCCUUUCUACACGCCGCCUGUCGCUCCUACCGAUUGAUUGGUCCGGUGAAUUAUGCGGACUGCAACGCGUUCAGCUUCUGGAUGCAGUUGCGGAAAGGUUUGUAAACCUUAUCACUCAGAGGAAGGAGAAGUCGUAACA